Molecule: long non-coding RNA, 808 nt
Organism: Lolium perenne
Lineage: Eukaryota; Viridiplantae; Streptophyta; Magnoliopsida; Poales; Poaceae
Source: RefSeq, a predicted model, not a curated record
GCUAGUGUCACGAACAUUUCAUUUUGUUUAGCCGUUGCCGCAUCUCAAAAUUAUUAGGUUUAAAGUUUAGUUAAAGUUAAGCCGUACCAGCUUUGACUAAAUAUUUAAGAAAAAAUACAGUAUCAACAUCUACAUAUUAAAUUGACACAUGGAGAAAAUAUAUUUUAUGGUGAAUCUAUUAAUAUGUAUUGAUUUCAUAUUGUAGAUGUUUAUAUUUUUAUGUAUAAACCUUGUUAAAUUUAGAAGAUAUUGAUUUUUAACUAAACUUAUAUGCCUUAUAAUUUAGGAUAGAGGGAUUAUAGAGGGAAUUUUCUAGACCGAAAGGCUCCUGGACUUGGCACGAAAGCAAAUGGGAAAGCUUCAAUGCGAGUUGGGUUGGGGUGCACUAACACCCACGAUUCUGCAGGAAAUCGAUAUGGUGAGUCAUCGAGACAAACCCACCAAGCAGCGUUGUGAAUAUAUUUGGGACUCGGCUAAGUGACGUGGAUCAUAGAUUUAAACUACUUAUCAAGGUUAUCGAUGCACAGCUACACCGCUUUCAUGGUUGCCUCUAGAGUGUGUGGAGCAUCGCGACCUAUAUAUAGAGUUGUCUACACUAUUGGAGAACACGGCGAGGGAUAUUUUUAUCCAAAAUGGAUGGCAGUGCAAUUUACGGAUUGGCCCUCGGUCUCCUUAGGCGCCUCUGCCAUUUUUGAUGAAUAGUUGUAUUUUGUUUUUUAUAUUUUUUUGAUUGAUGUAUUUUUUUUUUUUUUGGAUUUGAGCGGCUGUAUGCAUCCUAGCUAUCCAGAGAUCAUCUGCAAUGCUUAAA